This 478-nucleotide long non-coding RNA is filed under the name Panax ginseng (ginseng). RNAcentral describes it as "long non-coding RNA (PGIN_LNC007444)". The record is from RNAcentral. Lineage: Eukaryota; Viridiplantae; Streptophyta; Magnoliopsida; Apiales; Araliaceae.
UCAAAAUAUUACAGUAUAAUACCUUCCUCUUUUUCUUUAUUUUUAAUUUAGUCCUGCAAGUAUUAUCAAACUUGCACCACCUCCCCUAAUAGUAAAUCAUGUGAAUUAAUAGUUCAUUCAUGUGACUCAAUAGUAUAAUCAUGUGAAAAAACUAAUUACAGUAUAGUUCCUUCAACUAUACCUCCAUUUUUAAUUUAGUCAUGCAAGUAUUAUCAAUCCUGCACCAACUCCCCUAAUAGUAAAUCAUGUGAAUCAAUAGUACACACAUGCGAACACAUAGUUAUAAGCAUGUGAAUUAAUAGCAAUUAAUUACUCAUUUAUCCGGUUAAUUACCCAAUUGGUCAAUAUAACCUUCAGACAUCAAUGAUUAUCGAAAUAAAUGUCGAUUUUCACUAACACUAAUAAUUCCAACACAAUGGAACUAUCAAUUUCAUCUUUAAUCAAUACGAACUUAUUCAUCAUUAAUAUUAUAAUUCAC